This 494-nucleotide ribosomal RNA is filed under the name uncultured bacterium. Its description in RNAcentral is "bacterial SSU rRNA". It matches the Rfam family "Bacterial small subunit ribosomal RNA", at positions 35 to 507 of the family's 1533-position model. The record is from RNAcentral.
GCUGGCGGCGUGCCUAACACAUGCAAGUCGUGCGAGAAAGUUCCUUCGGGAGCGAGUAAAGCGGCGCACGGGUGAGUAACACGUAGGUAACCUGCCCCCCAGUCUGGAACAACUAGAGGAAACUCUAGCUAAUGCCGGAUGAGACCACGAUCCCUUCGGGGGUUGCGGCCAAGAUGGCCUCUACUUGUAAGCUAUCGCUGAGGGAUGGGCCUGCGGGCCAUUAGCUUGUUGGUGAGGUAACGGCUCACCAAGGCUGUGAUGGCUAGCUGGUCUGAGAGGAUGACCAGCCACACUGGGACUGAGACACGGCCCAGACUCCUACGGGAGGCAGCAGUGGGAAUAUUGCGCAAUGGGCGAAAGCCUGACGCAGCGACGCCGCGUGGGUGAUGAAGGCCUUCGGGUCGUAAAGCCCUGUCGCAGGGGAAGAAUAAGCAUCGGUAUAAUACGCCGGUGCCCUGACGGUACCCUGCAAGAAAGCACCGGCUAACUCCGUG